UACGUAGGGUGCAAGCGUUGUCCGGAAUUAUUGGGCGUAAAGAGCUCGUAGGCGGUUUGUCGCGUCUGCUGUGAAAACUCGGGGCUUAACCCCGGGUCUGCAUUCGAUACGGGCUAGCUAGAGUGUGGUAGGGGAGAUCGGAAUUCCUGGUGUAGCGGUGAAAUGCGCAGAUAUCAGGAGGAACACCGGUGGCGAAGGCGGAUCUCUGGGCCAUUACUGGCGCUGAGGAGCGAAAGCGUGGGGAGCGAACAGG
Molecule: ribosomal RNA, 253 nt
Filed under: uncultured bacterium
Lineage: Bacteria
Description: partial 16S ribosomal RNA
Rfam family: Bacterial small subunit ribosomal RNA
Source: RNAcentral